RNAcentral lists this ribosomal RNA (245 nucleotides) under uncultured bacterium. Its description in RNAcentral is "partial 16S ribosomal RNA". It matches the Rfam family "Bacterial small subunit ribosomal RNA", at positions 524 to 768 of the family's 1533-position model. The record is from RNAcentral.
UACGGAGGGUGCAAGCAUUAAUCGGAUUUAUUGGGCGUAAAGGGCGCGUAGGCGGAGAUAAUAGUCAGAUGUGAAAUCCUGGGGCUCAACCUCAGAACUGCAUUUGAAACUGUAUCUCUAGAGGGUAGGCGGAGAAAACGGAAUUCCACAAGUAGCGGUGAAAUGCGUAGAUAUGUGGAAGAACACCGGUAGCGAAGGCGGUUUUCUAGCUUAUACCUGACGCUGAGGCGCGAAAGCAAGGGGAU